RNAcentral lists this small RNA (82 nucleotides) under Arabidopsis thaliana (thale cress). RNAcentral describes it as "ATSL150280". Lineage: Eukaryota; Viridiplantae; Streptophyta; Magnoliopsida; Brassicales; Brassicaceae. The record is from RNAcentral.
AUAUAUAUAUAUAUGAAAGUUGGUUAAUAUAAAUGACACAUUAUCACACAACAAAAUGACAUAUGUCAUUCGAUGUUUUUUU